CAUCCUACGGGAGGCAGCAGUCGGGAAUAUUGCGCAAUGGAGGAAACUCUGACGCAGUGACGCCGCGUGCAGGAAGAAGGUUUUCGGAUUGUAAACUGCUUUAGACAGGGAAGAAAAAAGACAGUACCUGUAGAAUAAGCUCCGGCUAACUACGUGCCAGCAGCCGCGGUAAUACGUAGGUGGCAAGCGUUGUCCGGAUUUACUGGGUGUAAAGGGCGUGCAGCCGGAGAGACAAGUCAGAUGUGAAAUCCACGGGCUCAACCCGUGAACUGCAUUUGAAACUGUUUCCCUUGAGUGUCGGAGAG
RNAcentral lists this ribosomal RNA (305 nucleotides) under uncultured bacterium. Its description in RNAcentral is "bacterial SSU rRNA". It matches the Rfam family "Bacterial small subunit ribosomal RNA", at positions 335 to 656 of the family's 1533-position model. The record is from RNAcentral.